AACUACUGGAAACGUUAGCUAAUACCGCAUAACCUCGAAAGAGCAAAGUGGGGGACCUUCGGGCCUCACACCAUCGGAUGAACCCAGAUGGUAUUAGCUAGUAGGUGGGGUAACGGCUCACCUAGGCGACGAUCCCUAGCUGGUCUGAGAGGAUGACCAGCCACACUGGAACUGAGACACGGUCCAGACUCCUACGGGAGGCAGCAGUGGGGAAUAUUGCACAAUGGGCGCAAGCCUGAUGCAGCCAUGCCGCGUGUAUGAAGAAGGCCUUCGGGUUGUAAAGUACUUUCAGCGGGGAGGAAGGGAUGAAGGUUAAUAACCUUCGUCAUUGACGUUACCCGCAGAAGAAGCACCGGCUAACUCCGUGCCAGCAGCCGCGGUAAUACGGAGGGUGCGAGCGUUAAUCGGAAUUACUGGGCGUAAAGCGCACGCAGGCGGUUUGUUAAGUCAGAUGUGAAAUCCCCGGGCUCAACCUGGGAACUGCAUUUGAAACUGGCAAGCUUGAGUCUCGUAGAGGGGGGUAGAAUUCCAGGUGUAGCGGUGAAAUGCGUAGAGAUCUGGAGGAAUACCGGUGGCGAAGCGGCCCCCUGGACGAAGACUGACGCUCAG
Molecule: ribosomal RNA, 609 nt
Filed under: uncultured bacterium
Lineage: Bacteria
Description: bacterial SSU rRNA
Rfam family: Bacterial small subunit ribosomal RNA
Source: RNAcentral